GUAAUCUCUUAUCAGGUGCUGACCAAUAGUUCAAGAAAACUUGCCUUGCAGCAGAUGAAAGAAUAUUAAGUUUUAGUAUUACCAAAGUACACAAUUGGUAUUAAAGUUUACAAACAGAAAAUCAAAACCUGUAAGAAAUACAUCCAAUUUUAGCUAAUUAAAAUUACACAAGAUGUUUUUAGUUACAAAAACUUGUUUAAAGGACAAGCUGCUGGAAAACACAAAGAGUUGUUAUGUCAUUAACCUCAAAGGUUAACAUGUAUAUCUGCUUAAUAAAGAGAUAUUUGCAUCUUUCCUCAGUCCUUUUACAUCUUAAAUGAAGAGAAAUUGGAGUUGUCUUAAAAGAUAAAUGGGUAUGUAUACUAGCUGCAGAAUUGGAUGAAAAGUGUUUCAAAUGGAAGAAACCAUGUGAGCAAAGUCCUUAGGUGAGAGACUGCUGAAGAUAUAUUGGAGGAAUGGAU
RNAcentral lists this long non-coding RNA (461 nucleotides) under Bos indicus x Bos taurus (hybrid cattle). RNAcentral describes it as "lncRNA (ENSBIXG00005025376.1)". The record is from RNAcentral. Lineage: Eukaryota; Metazoa; Chordata; Mammalia; Artiodactyla; Bovidae.